Molecule: ribosomal RNA, 274 nt
Filed under: uncultured bacterium
Lineage: Bacteria
Description: partial 16S ribosomal RNA
Rfam family: Bacterial small subunit ribosomal RNA
Source: RNAcentral
AUACAGAGGGUGCGAGCGUUAAUCGGAAUUACUGGGCGUAAAGGGCGCGUAGGUGGUUUGGUAAGUCAGAUGUGAAAUCCCUGGGCUUAACCUGGGAAUUGCAUUUGAUACUGCCAGACUAGAGUGUGGUAGAGGUAAGCGGAAUUCCCGGUGUAGCGGUGAAAUGCGUAGAUAUCGGGAAGAACAUCAGUGGCGAAGGCGGCUUACUGGAUCAACACUGACACUGAGGCGCGAAAGCGUGGGUAGCAAACAGGAUUAGAAACCCGAGUAGUCC